This 1297-nucleotide long non-coding RNA is filed under the name Nicotiana benthamiana. RNAcentral's name for it is "long non-coding RNA (NBEN_LNC022586)". Lineage: Eukaryota; Viridiplantae; Streptophyta; Magnoliopsida; Solanales; Solanaceae. The record is from RNAcentral.
CCUCCCAUUAAAUCUCCGUCAAAUCAUUGUGGGCGUUUUACCAGAUCAUCAUAUUUGGUGACUGCCCCUCCUCUUCUCUCCUAGUCCUCCUUUCUCCAGUCGCUAAUGAAGCUCGCUAGUUCGCCAACUUCCGCCUACCUUUGAUGAUAAACUCGAAACCAAGUUCAGCCAGGUCUCUCUAUAUUUCUCUCCUUUUGCUUAUGUAUGUAUAGAUAUUUGUUUGGAUCUACAAUUUCGCUGUUGGUUUUGUGAUGCUUUGUCACUUUAUUUGUUAGAUCUGCUCUUAGCUUGCCUUUUUUAUAGAGGUUUUAUGUAUCUGAUGUUGUAAGGAACCUAUAUUAUUAUAACUGAAAUUUUCUAAAAGUCCUUUAGAAAUGUAAGAAACCCUAGUUAGUUGUUCAAAGAUAUACUAGCGAAAUCUGUACAGAGGAUUGUGUAGCGGUCCUAACUAAUUUAGGAUCGAGGCUUAGUUAAUGAUUAAAUCAAGAGCUCUGUUGUGUAAUGGUCAUAUUUACUGCUAUAUAUCCUUAUGCAAGAUAUGGAAUUCUGCUUGUUGAAGAAUUGAAUUAGUUUGCUUGGAUUAAUUAUAGUAUUAUUUGGAAUGGUACUGUAGUUUUUCUUACUAUACGAACCUGUUAAUUAAUUUUUUAGAUGGGUGGCUGUGAAAUUGUUGUUGUGAGAGAUAUGGUGAAGUCUUCGUAGUCGCUAGAAUGGUUGGGCUUCUCUGCUUGGUGAGGCAUUUACUAGUUUUAUACUUAAUGAUCUUCAUCUUUCGUAUUUAAUGCACUAUGAAUUAACUUGAUUGAUAAGCUUUACUUCCUGUAGGUUUGUAAUAACUUUUUGUUGAUUUUCUGAAGAUGUUCUAGUAAAAUGAACUUGCUAUUUUUGUUGCUCUUUUGUGUAUGUUGGAGUUAGUCCCUCCAUCUGAUUAUACAUUAUACCUUUUUCCCGUCAUCUGUUCUUCAUUUCGUGUGAUUAUCAUUUGAUUCUUGUUUUACUGAUAUCAGAUUAGGAUUUCUUGGGAUGAAAUUUUUCCUUAAAGGUUGGUCUUUUUGAUUAGAUUUGGUCAAUGGUAAUUUUUUAUCAUCGUUUGUACAAAUGACUCUGGUUUUCUCUAUUAGAGAGUAUAGUAUGCAUUCUAUCUUAAUUCCAUGUAAUUUGGAGUAGAGAGAAUUUUUCUUUUAUAUCCUUCUAGUUGAAAUCUGAUUUCCUUGUUUAAUUUUGUUCUGCAGGCAUUGUAUUGAAGGGGUGGUUCAUCACCUAAUAUUCCAAGAAAAUUGCCAGUACUUAUUAAAUA